UACAGAGGUGGCAAGCGUUGUUCGGAAUUACUGGGCGUAAAGGGCGCGUAGGCGGCCUUCUAAGUCAGACGUGAAAUCCCCCGGCUUAACCUGGGAACUGCGUCUGAUACUGGGAGGCUUGAGUAUGGGAGAGGGAUGUAGAAUUCCAGGUGUAGCGGUGAAAUGCGUAGAUAUCUGGAGGAAUACCGGUGGCGAAGGCGGCAUCCUGGACCAUAACUGACGAUCAGGCACGAAAGCGUGGGGAGCAAACAGG
This 253-nucleotide ribosomal RNA is filed under the name uncultured bacterium. Its description in RNAcentral is "partial 16S ribosomal RNA". It matches the Rfam family "Bacterial small subunit ribosomal RNA", at positions 524 to 776 of the family's 1533-position model. The record is from RNAcentral.